ACAAACUCCGCUGGGGAUAAGAUGAAUGGUUGGCGGUUACUGAGCAAAUAUUCACUUAUACCACAGGGAAGCACAAGAGACAGUCACAAGGCCAAUUUAGGAUCAAACCAAAAAGGCAAACUGAAUCAAGACUUGUCCUAAUGAGGAUGUAACUCAAUAGGGAAACCCAUCCCAAUGUAUGUGUUGGGAGGAAACGGAAACAACCGUCGUCCACGAGGAUAUAACUCAGUGGGGAGUGCAGAAGGAAAGAUAAACACUUUCUGCUUAAGGGGCUGACUCUAUA
Molecule: long non-coding RNA, 283 nt
Filed under: Lathyrus oleraceus (garden pea)
Lineage: Eukaryota; Viridiplantae; Streptophyta; Magnoliopsida; Fabales; Fabaceae
Description: Pisum sativum (pea) long non-coding RNA (PSAT_LNC017436)
Source: RNAcentral